GGAGACUUGCCUGAGUGGCCGAAAGGGGCACCCUGCUAAGGUGUUAUAGGCGUUCGUCUAUCCGGGGUUCGAAUCCCCGAGUCUCCG
RNAcentral lists this transfer RNA (87 nucleotides) under Candidatus Nutricula glyptotermitis. Its description in RNAcentral is "tRNA-Ser". It matches the Rfam family "tRNA". From Rfam's summary of the family: Transfer RNA (tRNA) molecules are approximately 80 nucleotides in length. Their secondary structure includes four short double-helical elements and three loops (D, anti-codon, and T loops). Further hydrogen bonds mediate the characteristic L-shaped molecular structure. tRNAs have two regions of fundamental functional importance: the anti-codon, which is responsible for specific mRNA codon recognition, and the 3' end, to which the tRNAs corresponding amino acid is attached (by aminoacyl-tRNA synthetases). tRNAs cope with the degeneracy of the genetic code in two manners: having more than one tRNA (with a specific anti-codon) for a particular amino acid; and 'wobble' base-pairing, i.e. permitting non-standard base-pairing at the 3rd anti-codon position. Lineage: Bacteria; Bacillati; Actinomycetota; Actinomycetes; Bifidobacteriales; Bifidobacteriaceae. The record is from RNAcentral.